AUAGCUUACCUUCCUGUCUUAUGAUAUGAGACAUAAUUUUUGUUGUGACUGAAAUUCUUGACAUUUCUCAACAGUUCGUGGUACCAUACGCUGCAGCGGCGAAAAUUAAAAAAUGGUAAAUUGAGAAAGUGUUUUAGGAAUAUUCCCGAUUAUUUUUGAAAUCCUGAAGGAAAAAUAAAAUUCAUAAUGAUGAAAACAUAAAAGUGGUGAAUUUCCGGCGGUCCAGUUAGAAAUUUGAGUGCUGGGCCGCUGUAAUAUUUUAUGGAUGUUUUUUUUUAAUGUUCCUGCUCACGAGGUUCCACUUCCAACUUGCUGAUUUGUAUUCUAAUUGCAAUUUGUCAUUGGCUAACCCACCGACUACGGGCCUUAUAUCGGUCAGGGUUUUUAAUGAUAUAUUGAGCCAGAACAAGGAGUGAAAAUUACCCUAUUCUUUGGAAAGUAUAGGCUCUGAACCCGAACGCCCAAAUAUCGGGAGCUCCGCCCCCCGAUAAAUAAGCUGGGAACCUAACAGAAAUCAAAAUGUCCGUGAGUCUUAGAUCAUAAAAUUUGACAAAUAAAAUACAAGAAAUAAACAAAAGGGAACAAGUUAAAACAUCGGAAAAGUAAAAGAUUACCAAAAUGAAAAGAAGAAAAAAAUUUAAAGCUGCAAAUAGAAAACGAAAUUAUGUGUUUGUGAUUGUCCGUUAUUUAUUUAAAACAUUUUUUUUUUGUGCGUCAAAGUUUAAAUUUAUUUAUUAUUUAUUUAUUUUUUUAAUUUCCCAAAUUUAAUUAUUAUGUAAGUGAUAAAAACCAUUUUUGAAGGGGUCAACGCGAAAUUUUCGUUUUUGGGUAUCCUAGGGUGAAAUAUACCUCCAAAGAGCUCUCUAGGGGUAGGCUAUCCAGGAUCGUUUUUUUUUGUCAAAGCUAAAUUUAUUACCGAAAAGGGUAACAGUGUCUUUUUUUUGGAUAAUAACUCGACUCCGAGGAAGGGUUUUUAAUCGCCUUUGUUUUUUUUUUCUAAUAUUCUUUUUUUUUAGUUAAAUUGUCCUGUAAAUUUCGAGUGAUAAAUUUGAUUCGAUUUUUUUUUGUAGUUAAAAAGUCGUUUUGUAUUCUUUAUAUUCAAUGAUGUGAAUAAACUUAAAUGACGCCAAGGGUCGAAAAGAA
This is a long non-coding RNA of Episyrphus balteatus (marmalade hoverfly), 1143 nucleotides long. RefSeq lists it as uncharacterized. The record is from RefSeq and is a predicted model, not a curated record. The transcript has 3 exons. Lineage: Eukaryota; Metazoa; Arthropoda; Insecta; Diptera; Syrphidae.